UCUAGUUCAGGAGGCUUUUUAUUUGACUCAAUAGGAUUAGUAAGAUAAGGUCUACGCUGGUUGUGUUAUAUGGGUAACAAUACCGGUGUUAUACGCCUUAUUUACUUUCCUAUUUGUUGUAAUUUUUAUUUUCCUAAUAUUAAUAAAAAAAUAAAAAAAUUGGCCAAAAAAAAAGACAUCACUUUUUUCAGCUCCAAGAACCCAACUGAAUUCUGUCUCCACACACCAUGGAAACACAACUCUAAACCAGCAAAAUGCCACCCCAAACCCAACUGGAGUCGACCCCAUAAAGACCCCAAAAAUACAGCUCUAAAGCCUUCUCAAACCUCCUUUAAAUAGCCCUAAAAUCUCACCCAAAACAACUGGAAAAAUAGCUUCAGAAACAACCACGAAAUCCAACUGAACCACCUCCAAAAACACCAUUAAAAGCACCUUCGAAACACCUAAUUUCAGCUCCAAAAACCUCACCCAAAACCAACAAAAAACAGUGACGAAAAUCAGCUCCUUUCACCUCCAAAUCUCAACAAAAUCAUCAGCUAAAACUCACCCCAAGAUACCUCAAAAGCCACCUCAAAAUCAGAUGCAAAACCAGCUCAAAAUAGCCCCACUUUAACUAAAAUCUCCACCAAAUAGCCAUGAUAGCUGGCUACAAAAGCUCCAUAAAAUUGCAAAAAAUAACCGCUUAAACAGAUCCAAACCGACCAAAAUGACACUGCUGGAAACUAGCUGAAAUAUCGUCUCUAAACAGCCAAAAAAUUUGUCCCAAACAAAGUUGAAACCCUAUCCCCAAAAAUUAUAGUUGAACAAGGUCAAUCGAGAUCGCCGGAAAAGUCCCUCUUCGUGGUCCUUUGCUACCAUUUUUUGUGGGUCAAAUUUUUAGCAUUGGAGUUCACAUCUAUUGUAUGUUUAGCUGAAGAUUCAUGCAAUAUAUUGAAGAGAGAUUUUGCUAUAAGGUCCUUAUCUCUUUCUUUCACUGAUUAUUCAUGAUGUCAUUAACCUUAUCUUGUUGUUUAAUAUAUUGAUAGUGUCGCGAUCCAAAAUUCACUAAGCGUCGUAGUGACGCUGGACAUCGGUGUCAGGCAAACCAACCGAAAUACUUAAUUAAAUUCUUGUUUAAAUAAUUUCCAAAAUAUUUCUUUUAUAUAAGUAAAACAACACUCAAUAUAUUCCUCUGAAUAAAUAAUGAAAUAUAUAACAACUUUUAAAAUUUUUGAAUAAGCCCAAAUACAUCCCAGAACCCGAUAUCACAAGUACAUUAGUAAUUUCUAAGAAAAAUCGAAUAAAGUACAACAGCUGUCUGGAAUACAAUUGGACAGAAAAUAAAUAGGAUCCUGAGAGAGACUACUAGCUGCGGGUCGCCUCGAGAAAAUACAGCUCACCUAGUCUCCGUGUCAACCAUGCCGCUAUGCCAUCAAGUCACUAGCCACACAUAAACCCGUGCAACAAAAAUGCACAUCAAGUGUAGUAUGAGUACGAAAAUAAUAUGUACCCAAUGAGUAUUCCGUCUAAUCUUGAAGAUGUAAAGACGAGAUGGUCGACUUCGACACUUAUUAGUGAUCCAAUAAUGAUGUUACUGAUAUAUUAAAUCGUGAAUUUCUAUAAACAUGAUUUUAAUUCAAUAGAAUGAAACAAGUAAACAAUUAAUUCGUUUAUAGGAAAUUUUCAAAAUUUCUUUUUAUUAUUAUCAAAACAUUCUCAGAGGCAAUAAUAACUUUAAUAAGUUCAAGAAAGCAAUACAAGCAUAUGCAAAUCAUGCCGAGGUCGAUGGCCCGUUCCAAUAGAAAAUAAACUAUGCACUUGCCGAUGGUCGACGGUGCACCUAUAAAUGCAUCUAUUUAAUCUGUCGAGGCGUUCAACCAUUUCCCAAAAUAAACACACACAGACAGAGAGUCAAUCAAGAAUUCAGCAUGGAGCAAUUAUUCAAAGAAAUGCCAAUUCUCUUUAAUAAUUUAAGAAAAUAAAGUUUAACUCUUUUUAGAAACUCAUUUACUAAUUCAAUGAGAUUAAAGCAGUACAAUCUGCCGAUAAGAUUGCAAUUAUUCCACGUAUAGCAUGCCUUUAGGUCCUGGACUACCCGGCAAUAGCAUAAUAGUAGCUACGCACGGACUCUCGUCACCUCGUGCAUACAUAGUCCCCAUAAAUAGGAGCACAUAGCCAUUUAUUUCACCUAUGGGGACAAUCUCCUAUUACAAGGUUAGAAAGCAGACUCACCUCGCUACGAAGAUCCAUAACCAGCUUCCAGGCCUCUUCUGACGACUCCAAUUGAUGUACAAACUAUCCGUAUAACAGGCAAACCCAUAAAAAAUUAAUCUAAUACUUGUAACAAUUCAAAUUAUAUAAGUUCUCAACUCCGCUCGAAAAUUUAACCAAAAUGUCCUCGGGCUCACGUGCCUGAAAUCUGAAAAUUUUGAAACUAAAGUAUACCUAUGAACUCACGAACUCAAAUAUAUGAUUUCCUCUUAAUUCCAUGUCCAAAAUCAUGGUCAAAAUCCAUGAGUACUAUUUUUUAGGUUUUCCUCAAACCCCAGGUUUUCUACAAAUUUCCAUAUCUAAAUUCAUAUAUAAACCUCGUAUUUAACUCAAAACCAGUAAACAUCACUUACCUCAUGCUUGGUGAUGAAAAGGACACUCCAAGUUGCUCCAAAAUCGGAUCCCAUGGAAGAAAUAAAGUGAAAAAUGAGUCAAAAUCCGAUUUUUAAAAGAACACUCCCAGAAGACCCUUCUAUGCGAUCGCAAACAUAGCCCCGCGAUCGCAUAUGCCAACUCUGCUGCCUCCUUAAGUCCUUCUACGCCAUUGCGACACCAACCCUGCGAUCGCAUAAGCCGUAGCCUUCCUCCUUUGCGAUCGGAUUGCACUUGUUUCGAUCGUGUAGGCCAAAUUCCAGCUCCCUCAGCUCUUGCUCUACGCGAUCGCAGACCCUUUCUCGCGAUUGCAUAUAGUAAAAAUUCGCAACGCUUAUACCAACCAAAAUACGGCCGAGGCAAAAAUCGAUCUAUUGAGCAUCUGAAACACGCCCGAGGCCCUCCGGACCUCAACCAAACCUACCAACCAGUCCUAAAAUAUAUUACGGACUUGCUCGAGGCCUCAAAUCAUAUCAAACAACGCUAAAACCAUGAAUUAUACCCCAAUUCAAGCUUUCUGAACUUUGAAAUUUUGAACUUCUACUUUCGAUGUUUAAACCUAUCAAAUCACGUCCAAUUGACCUCAAAUUUUGCAGUCAAGUCAUAUUCCACAUUACAGACCUACUCCAACCUCCGGAAUCGGAUUCCGACCCUGAUAUCAAAAAGUCCACUUCCGGUCAAACUUCUCAAAUACCACAAAAUUUUUGUCUUUAACCAAAUGACUCCAAAAUGACAUACGGACCUACGACUUCACUUCCGAUAACGCUCCCAACUCCGGAAUCACCAUACGGAGCUACUCCCAGACUUGAAAUCUCAAACGGACAUCAAUAACACUGAAAUGCACUUCAAGCCAAAUUUAUGAAAUUUCUUCCAAAAUGCUAACUUCCAUAAUAGGCGCCAAAACAUUCCCGAGUUCCAAAACCCGAUCCGGACAUAUGCCCAAGUCCGAAAUAAUCAUAGGAACCUGCUGGAACCUUCAGGUCUCAAUUCUGAGGUCGUUUACUAAAAAAUUCAAUCUAAGUCAAUUCUUUCAACUUUAAGCUCCCGAAUUAAGAAUUCUCCUUCCAAAUCAACUCUGAACUUCCCGAAAUUCAAUUCCAACAAUGCAUACAAGUCUUAAUACCGAAAUAACCUAUAGCCUUCACAAUAUUUUUAAAAUAUAGCAAGAAUAAUGAACAGUAGUAGAAAUGCUUUAGGUCCUGGUUUUAAAACUACUAUCAUGAGUGCGUACAUGUUCGUAUGACAUGAUUACGGUUAUUUCAAAUAAAUUCAAGGUACGCGUUUGCGCAGCUUUGAUCGAACUUUUUCUUAAAUAAACUAAAUAUGGUGAAUUAUGUACACUUACGCGUGACAUGAUAUUUGACACACUAAAAUUAAACGAGUAUACAUAUGCGUAACUCGUCUUAAAUAACGAGUAAUCAAGUAAUUAGUAGCGGUUAAAAGGGUAAAAUACACAUAGGUCCUAAAAUGAGUAGUUAGAUAAAAUAAGCCAAGUAUAAGUCAUUAAAUGACCAUGCUAAAACUAUGGAACUCGGGAGUGCCUAACACCUUCUUCUGGGUUAACAGAAUUCCUUACCCAUUUUUCUAGUUGCACAAACUUUUAACAAAGUCAAAAUUUCCUCGAUUUGGGAUUUAAAAUAAGAUUUGGGACACCAUAUAUAUUAUCCCAAGUAGCGAGUCUGAAAUUAAAUAAAUAAUUCCAUAUCGAUUAAUGUCACUUAAAUUGGAAGACUCCCUUAUAUCCUCUUUCGCGUAAAAGGAGGUGUAACAGCUCUGGCGACUCUGCUGUAGAUUAGAGCCCAGAAUCUCUGGUUCAGGGUUUAAGAAUUUGAGCUUGUUAAUGUCAUUUUUACUUGGCUAUUUAUUGUUGAUAUUAUUGUAUUUGUGGGCGUAAUAUGCUAAUUGCCGCUUAUUUAUUGCUUUGAUGUUAUUUGAACUGUGUUAAACGGUCUUCUUACACCUCCCUUCUGAGUCUUCUAAAAAAUGAUACACACAUUUGCGUGGCCUGCUUUUCUGCUACAGGUCGUACAAAAUACAACGAGAAUGGAUCAGCCACUAGGCCGGUUAGACUUCCGUGCUACUGGUACGUCGCCCCACCUCGGCUCUAGUUAUCUUCUUGGAUAAUCGAGGUCUAGAACACAAUCCCAAGUUUAAACCUAUAAUAACCAUACCUCAUGUCGGAUCCCUAGUAGGAAUAUUUGUUUGCAUACGUGCAUUUGACUUUGGGGACUCAAUGCAGGGGUUGGGUCCGUCUAUGAUAGAUGUACCCGAAAUAAAAGACCAUCAUCAUGCAUCUUACGUGCCAUUUGUACAUUUAUUUGCUUCGGCUUGUAUGUUGACC
RNAcentral lists this long non-coding RNA (4963 nucleotides) under Nicotiana benthamiana. RNAcentral describes it as "long non-coding RNA (NBEN_LNC023385)". The record is from RNAcentral. Lineage: Eukaryota; Viridiplantae; Streptophyta; Magnoliopsida; Solanales; Solanaceae.